This 445-nucleotide ribosomal RNA is filed under the name uncultured bacterium. Its description in RNAcentral is "bacterial SSU rRNA". It matches the Rfam family "Bacterial small subunit ribosomal RNA", at positions 354 to 796 of the family's 1533-position model. The record is from RNAcentral.
GUGAGGAAUAUUGCGCAAUGGAGGCAACUCUGACGCAGCCAUGCCGCGUGCAGGAAGAAGGCGCUACGCGUUGUAAACUGCUUUUAACCGGGAAGAAACCCCAGGACGUGUCCUGGGUUGACGGUACCGGAGGAAUAAGCACCGGCUAACUUCGUGCCAGCAGCCGCGGUAAUACGAAGGGUGCAAGCGUUAUCCGGAUUCAUUGGGUUUAAAGGGUGCGUAGGCGGAGCGUUAAGUCAGUGGUGAAAUCCUGCAGCUUAACUGUAGACUUGCCAUUGAUACUGGCGCGCUUGAGUGCGCUUGAAGUGGGCGGAAUGUGCCGUGUAGCGGUGAAAUGCUUAGAUAUGGCACAGAACACCAAUUGCGAAGGCAGCUCACUAAGGCGAUACUGACGCUGAGGCACGAAAGCGUGGGGAUCGAACAGGAUUAGAUACCCUGGUAGUCC